This 490-nucleotide ribosomal RNA is filed under the name uncultured bacterium. RNAcentral's name for it is "bacterial SSU rRNA". It matches the Rfam family "Bacterial small subunit ribosomal RNA", at positions 382 to 893 of the family's 1533-position model. The record is from RNAcentral.
CCUGACCGACAUCCGCGUGAGGGAUGAAGGAUUUUGGUCUGUAAACCUCUUUUCUCAAGAAAGAAGUUCUGACGGUACUUGAGGAAUAAGCAUCGGCUAACUCCGUGCCAGCAGCCGCGGUAAUACGGGGGAUGCAAGCGUUAUCCGGAAUCAUUGGGCGUAAAGCGCCUGUAGGUUGUUUAAUAAGUCUGUUGUUAAAGACUAGGGCUUAACCCUAGAAAAGCAAUGGAAACUACUAGACUAGAGUAUGGCAGGGGUAGAGGGAAUUUCUAGUGUAGCGGUGAAAUGCGUAGAUAUUAGAAAGAACACCGGUGGCGAAAGCGCUCUACUGGACCAUUACUGACACUCAGAGGCGAAAGCUAGGGUAGCAAAAGGGAUUAAGAUACCCCUGUAGUCCUAGCCGUAAACGAUGGAUACUACAUGUUGUGCAUUAUGUACAGUAUGGUAGCUAACGCGUUAAGUAUCCCGCCUGGGGAGUCCGCUCGCAAGG